Molecule: ribosomal RNA, 886 nt
Filed under: uncultured bacterium
Lineage: Bacteria
Description: bacterial SSU rRNA
Rfam family: Bacterial small subunit ribosomal RNA
Source: RNAcentral
CUAACACAUGCAAGUCGAGCGCGAAAGGGGGGGCAACUCCCCGAGUAGAGCGGCGCACGGGUGAGUAACGCGUGGGUAACCCACCUCCGGGCGGGGGAUAACGACUCGAAAGGGUCGCUAAUACCGCAUGAGACCACGGGGUCUUCGGAUCCUGAGGCCAAAGGCGGCAUCGGCUUGCCGGUGCUGUCACCUGGAGACGGGCCCGCGUCCGAUUAGCUAGUUGGCAGGGUAACGGCCUACCAAGGCUUCGAUCGGUAGCUGGUCUGAGAGGAUGGCCAGCCACACUGGAACUGGAACACGGUCCAGACUCCUACGGGAGGCAGCAGUGAGGAAUAUUGCGCAAUGGGGGAAACCCUGACGCAGCAACGCCGCGUGGGUGAAGAAGGCCUUCGGGUCGUAAAGCCCUUUCGGACGGGACGAACGCUUCGCGGUGACAACCCGCGAAGCUUGACGGUACCGUAGGAAGAAGCACCGGCUAACUCCGUGCCAGCAGCCGCGGUAAUACGGAGGGUGCGAGCGUUGUUCGGAAUUACUGGGCGUAAAGCGCGUGUAGGCGGCCCUGUAAGUCAGAUGUGAAAGCCCCCGGCUUAACCGGGGAAGUGCAUCUGAAACUGCUUGGCUUGAGUACCGGAGAGGGAGGCGGAAUUCCCAGUGUAGAGGUGAAAUUCGUAGAUAUUGGGAGGAACACCGGUGGCGAAAGCGGCCUCCUGGACGGAUACUGACGCUGAGACGCGAAAGCGUGGGGAGCAAACAGGAUUAGAUACCCUGGUAGUCCACGCUGUAAACGAUGGGCACUAGGUGUGGGGGGUAUCCACUCCUCCCGUGCCGCAGCUAACGCAUUAAGUGCCCCGCCUGGGGAGUACGGCCGCAAGGCUAAAACUCAAAG